GAGUUUGAUCAUGGCUCAGAAUGAACGCUAGCGGCAGGCUUAACACAUGCAAGUCGAGGGAUAUAGUUCUUCUUAAUCAAAGACCGGCGGACGGGUGCGUGACGCGUGUGCAAUCUACCUUUCUCAGAGGGAUAGACCACGAGAAAUUUGGAUUAGUACCUCAUAGUAUAACGACUCCGCAUGGGGAUGUUAUUAAAGCCCCCACGGUGAAAGAAGACCAUGCGUCACAUUAUCUAUGUGGUGAGGAAAGGGCUUACCAGGGCUACUAUGGGUAGGGGUCCAGAGAGGGAGAUCCCCCACUGUGGUACAGACACACGGACCACACUCCUACGGGAGGCAGCAGUGAAGAAUAGUGGACAGUGGGAGCAAGCGUGAUCCACCCGUGCCGCGUGCAAGAUGACGGUCCUAUGGAUUGUAAACUGCUUUUGCACAGGAAGAAACCACGCUACGUGUAGCGGCUUGACGGAACUGAGAGAAUAAAGAUCGGCUAACUCCGUGUCAGCAGCCGCGGUAAUACGGACGAUCCAAGCGAUAUCCGGACUCAUUGAGUGUAAAGGGUCC
Molecule: ribosomal RNA, 561 nt
Filed under: uncultured bacterium
Lineage: Bacteria
Description: bacterial SSU rRNA
Rfam family: Bacterial small subunit ribosomal RNA
Source: RNAcentral